GCGGCCGUGGCGGAAUUGGCAGACGCGCAGGCUUCAGGUGCCUGUGUCCUUAGGGACGUGGAGGUUCGACUCCUCUCGGCCGCA
This 84-nucleotide transfer RNA is filed under the name bacterium. Its description in RNAcentral is "tRNA-Leu". It matches the Rfam family "tRNA". Rfam says of the family: Transfer RNA (tRNA) molecules are approximately 80 nucleotides in length. Their secondary structure includes four short double-helical elements and three loops (D, anti-codon, and T loops). Further hydrogen bonds mediate the characteristic L-shaped molecular structure. tRNAs have two regions of fundamental functional importance: the anti-codon, which is responsible for specific mRNA codon recognition, and the 3' end, to which the tRNAs corresponding amino acid is attached (by aminoacyl-tRNA synthetases). tRNAs cope with the degeneracy of the genetic code in two manners: having more than one tRNA (with a specific anti-codon) for a particular amino acid; and 'wobble' base-pairing, i.e. permitting non-standard base-pairing at the 3rd anti-codon position. RNAcentral also lists the same sequence under 3 other names. The record is from RNAcentral.